Molecule: long non-coding RNA, 532 nt
Organism: Sander lucioperca (pikeperch)
Lineage: Eukaryota; Metazoa; Chordata; Actinopteri; Perciformes; Percidae
Exons: 2
Source: RefSeq, a predicted model, not a curated record
CCUGUUUAUUGUUAAAGAAACUAAAUUCUUACUCGGUGGUUGGAGCAUUAAUAUAAACAAACAAACAUAGUCAGGGGGUUUUCCUGCCAUUAGUAGGGCAACAAGUAAAGCAAAAAAAAAAAAAAAGUUGUUUUUCAAACAUAGUUUUUGCUUUUUUCAACAUUUUUGGUGCUUUUUUUUAUGGGAACGUUACUCCGUAAAUGCUUCUUGGAAAUCCCACACUGAUUGUCCAUCAUAUCGCCCCCUAAAGUUGGCUUUAAAUCUCAUACUAACUGGUUUUAAAAAGGUCUUAACUGUAACUGUGAGAACCCCGAGGGUCCCCUGCCUCCAUCUCUCCGCCUCCUUUAUUACAGAACUUUAUUUAGUAAAUCUGAGUGAAGUCAGGUGAUCGUCUAGUUGAGUCUGCCACAGUUUUAUGUUUAUUUUGAUGUAGAUUUUUCUAUUCCCCGUCCCUUUCUUCCCUUUCUCUUUCACUGUGUGCCCUGCUGUGUUCUUUUAAAACCUGCUGAAUGCCUUUUUAAAAAUGUUAAAA